This 207-nucleotide long non-coding RNA is filed under the name Nicotiana benthamiana. RNAcentral describes it as "long non-coding RNA (NBEN_LNC000238)". Lineage: Eukaryota; Viridiplantae; Streptophyta; Magnoliopsida; Solanales; Solanaceae. The record is from RNAcentral.
UAGAUAUCUUACCAAUCCAAUUGGGUUUUUUCUAAACGGAGCCUGGAUACUUCAUUUUUUUUGUCCAACCAAGCCAACCAUAAACUAUUCUAAUUGAAUUUUUCUAAUUGAUAAUAGUAAUAUGAAUCCCCUAAAAAAUGGAUAUAAUUGCGCUUCACGCUCCAAAUUUUUGAUGAUUAAACUUAUCUUUCUUGGGUGAAACGGGGG